RNAcentral lists this ribosomal RNA (765 nucleotides) under uncultured Weissella sp. RNAcentral's name for it is "bacterial SSU rRNA". It matches the Rfam family "Bacterial small subunit ribosomal RNA", at positions 100 to 851 of the family's 1533-position model. Lineage: Bacteria; Bacillati; Bacillota; Bacilli; Lactobacillales; Lactobacillaceae. The record is from RNAcentral.
GAACGGGUGAGUAACACGUGGGAAACCUACCUCUUAGCAGGGGAUAACAUUUGGAAACAGAUGCUAAUACCGUAUAACAAUGACAACCGCAUGGUUGUUAUUUAAAAGAUGGUUCUGCUAUCACUAAGAGAUGGUCCCGCGGUGCAUUAGCUAGUUGGUAAGGUAAUGGCUUACCAAGGCGAUGAUGCAUAGCCGAGUUGAGAGACUGAUCGGCCACAAUGGGACUGAGACACGGCCCAUACUCCUACGGGAGGCAGCAGUAGGGAAUCUUCCACAAUGGGCGAAAGCCUGAUGGAGCAACGCCGCGUGUGUGAUGAAGGGUUUCGGCUCGUAAAACACUGUUGUAAGAGAAGAAUGACAUUGAGAGUAACUGUUCAAUGUGUGACGGUAUCUUACCAGAAAGGAACGGCUAAAUACGUGCCAGCAGCCGCGGUAAUACGUAUGUUCCAAGCGUUAUCCGGAUUUAUUGGGCGUAAAGCGAGCGCAGACGGUUAUCUAAGUCUGAAGUGAAAGCCCUCAGCUCAACUGAGGAAUUGCUUUGGAAACUGGAUGACUUGAGUGCAGUAGAGGAAAGUGGAACUCCAUGUGUAGCGGUGAAAUGCGUAGAUAUAUGGAAGAACACCAGUGGCGAAAGCGGCUUUCUGGACUGUAACUGACGUUGAGGCUCGAAAGUGUGGGUAGCAAACAGGAUUAGAUACCCUGGUAGUCCACACCGUAAACGAUGAGUGCUAGGUGUUUGAGGGUUUCCGCCCUUAAGUGCCGCAG